Molecule: ribosomal RNA, 468 nt
Filed under: uncultured bacterium
Lineage: Bacteria
Description: partial 16S ribosomal RNA
Rfam family: Bacterial small subunit ribosomal RNA
Source: RNAcentral
GACGAACGCUGGCGGCGUGCUUAACACAUGCAAGUCGAACGGAAAGGCCCUGCUUUUGUGGGGUGCUCGAGUGGCGAACGGGUGAGUAACACGUGAGUAACCUGCCCUUGACUUUGGGAUAACUUCAGGAAACUGGGGCUAAUACCGGAUAGGAGCUCCUGCUGCAUGGUGGGGGUUGGAAAGUUUCGGCGGUUGGGGCUGGACUAGCGGCUUAUCAGCUUGUUGGUGGGGUAGUGGCUUACCAAGGCUUUGACGGGUAGCCGGCCUGAGAGGGUGACCGGCCACAUUGGGACUGCGAUACGGCCCAGACUCCUACGGGAGGCAGCAGUGGGGAAUAUUGCACAAUGGGCGGAAGCCUGAUGCAGCAACGCCGCGUGCGGGAUGACGGCCUUCGGGUUGUAAACCGCUUUCGCCUGUGACGAAGCGUGAGUGACGGUAAUGGGUAAAGAAGCACCGGCUAACUACGUG